This is a non-coding RNA of Triticum aestivum (bread wheat), 115 nucleotides long. The record is from Rfam. NCBI's taxonomy places the organism in Eukaryota, Viridiplantae, Streptophyta, Magnoliopsida, Poales, Poaceae.
UUUCUACUCCCUCCGUUUUGAAUUACUUGUCGCAGGUAUGGAUGUAUCUAGAUGUAUUUUAGUUCUAGAUACAUCCAUUUCUGCGACGAGUAAUUUGGAACGGAGGGAGUAGUAA